RNAcentral lists this ribosomal RNA (406 nucleotides) under uncultured bacterium. Its description in RNAcentral is "partial 16S ribosomal RNA". It matches the Rfam family "Bacterial small subunit ribosomal RNA", at positions 30 to 526 of the family's 1533-position model. The record is from RNAcentral.
AUUGAACGCUGGCGGCAGGCCUAACACAUGCAAGUCGAACGAGUGGCGGACGGGUGAGUAAUGUAUGGGAAACUGCCUGAUGGAGGGGGAUAACUACUGGAAACGGUAGCUAAUACCGCAUACCAUCAGAUGUGCCCAGAUGGGAUUAGCUGGUUGGUGGGGUAACGGCUCACCAAGGCGACGAUCCCUAGCGGGUCUGAGAGGAUGACCAGCCACGCUGGAAAUGAGACACGGUCCCGACUCCUACGUGAGGCAGCAGUGGGGAAUAUUGCACAAUGGGCGCAAGCCUGAUGCAGCCAUGCCGCGUGUAUGAAGAAGGCCUUCGGGUUGUAAAGUACUUUCAGCGGGGAGGCGUUACCCGCAGAAGAAGCACCGGCUAACUCCGUGCCAGCAGCCGCGGUAAUAC